RNAcentral lists this ribosomal RNA (483 nucleotides) under uncultured bacterium. RNAcentral describes it as "partial 16S ribosomal RNA". It matches the Rfam family "Bacterial small subunit ribosomal RNA", at positions 30 to 506 of the family's 1533-position model. The record is from RNAcentral.
AUUGAACGCUGGCGGCAUGCUUUACACAUGCAAGUCGAACGGCAGCGCGGGCUUCGGCCUGGCGGCGAGUGGCGAACGGGUGAGUAAUACAUCGGAACGUGCCCAGUAGUGGGGGAUAGCUCGGCGAAAGCCGGAUUAAUACCGCAUACGACCUAAGGGUGAAAGCGGGGGAUCUUCGGACCUCGCGCUAUUUGAGCGGCCGAUGGCAGAUUAGCUAGUUGGUGGGGUAAAGGCCUACCAAGGCGACGAUCUGUAGCUGGUCUGAGAGGACGACCAGCCACACUGGGACUGAGACACGGCCCAGACUCCUACGGGAGGCAGCAGUGGGGAAUUUUGGACAAUGGGCGAAAGCCUGAUCCAGCAAUGCCGCGUGUGUGAUGAAGGCCUUCGGGUUGUAAAGCACUUUUGGCGGGAACGAAAAGGACUGUGCCAAUACCACGGUUCGAUGACGGUACCCGCAGAAUAAGCACCGGCUAACUACGU